RNAcentral lists this unclassified non-coding RNA (262 nucleotides) under uncultured Actinomycetes bacterium. Its description in RNAcentral is "uncultured actinobacterium contains 16S-23S intergenic spacer region". Lineage: Bacteria; Bacillati; Actinomycetota; Actinomycetes. The record is from RNAcentral.
UCCGGUUUGGCACCGGCAGUCUCCCUAGAGUUCCCGGCAUGAUCCGCUGGCAACUAAGGACAGGGGUUGCGCUCGUUGCGCCACUUAAGGCAACACCUCACGGCACGAGCUGACGACAGCCAUGCACCACCUGUGCAGGCUCCGAAGAGCACCCGCUUUCACGGGUUUCACCCUGCAUGUCAAGCCCAGGUAAGGUUCUUCGCGUCGCAUCGAAUUAAGCCGCAUGCUCCGCCGCUUGUGUCGUGAGAUGUUCGGUUAAGUC